UUUUGAAGAACUAUUUAACCAUGAUGAAGCUUUGCAGUGUCCUGGUGCUGUCAGAGACAACUACAGUGAGUGUGUGCCAACGGAGAUUGAAAUCAUCUGCCUGGAAAAGGCAGAAAAUCAGAAUGCUGAGGACACAAUGACUCACAGCAAGGGCUCAAAACAAGACAGCCGCAGAACAUCCUCAUCUCUGGGAACCUCCAGUGAAGAAUCCUCUAACCAGACAGAUAGAUUCAGCUUCCCUAUGGACAAUAGUGCAUACGUGAUCUGGUGAGGAAAAGAGAAGGUCUUCUGGUUUUACUUUCAUGUCUAAAGACCAGAAAAAUACAGGAGUGUGACAGCUGAGACCCAAGACAGUACAACGGAGCAGCCUGUAACCUAAACUGUGUAAAUCUGGAGUAUGCCGUAAGACUCUGGCAUCAGAAACACUAAAAAUCUGUUUACGAGCCUACAAGUUUUCUGUGCUUUUGUGUAGUGAUACAUCUAACAUUUUUCUUUUUAACGUAUAUUUCAAAGCAGAGGUUCCCAGAUUGCUGUUUGUGGGUCCCUCAGAGACCUCACACACUGUCUAGCCUGGAAAUCUUUCUGCCCAGGAUGAGUUGUUUCCUGGACAAUCAAUAAUCAGCUUUGCUCUUUAACUUAAAGCUGUUGAAGCUGUAAGAGCUGAAGCUCUUAAAGCUGUUGAACUUCAGCUGUAUUGUUUGUAAAAUUUCAGUAUCAGGUUUAGAGGAAUGUGCUAUAUUUUCUAGGUUUAUUUAUGCUUAAAACAGGACUUCCAACGUUGAUAGUUAAGCAAAGAGAUACAGUUUAUCGU
This 811-nucleotide long non-coding RNA is filed under the name Lepisosteus oculatus (spotted gar). Its description in RNAcentral is "lncRNA (ENSLOCG00000021238.1)". Lineage: Eukaryota; Metazoa; Chordata; Actinopteri; Semionotiformes; Lepisosteidae. The record is from RNAcentral.